CUGAUGUGAUGCAAUUUAGCCAAAUCAGACAUUGUUGUGCUCCCUAUGGACCGUUGAAUCUGACACCUUAGGUAGGAGUGUGACUCUAUGAAGAUGGCAAUGAGAGAUUGCUUUAGC
Molecule: non-coding RNA, 117 nt
Organism: Solanum lycopersicum (tomato)
Lineage: Eukaryota; Viridiplantae; Streptophyta; Magnoliopsida; Solanales; Solanaceae
Source: Rfam